Molecule: non-coding RNA, 62 nt
Filed under: unclassified sequences
Description: pemK RNA
Rfam family: pemK RNA
Source: RNAcentral
AUAAUGAGACUUCCGCCGAAGGGCGGCUCGGCGAGAACCGCGGAGGGGUAUAUGGCCCAUGG